This 410-nucleotide ribosomal RNA is filed under the name uncultured Methylomirabilota bacterium. Its description in RNAcentral is "bacterial SSU rRNA". It matches the Rfam family "Bacterial small subunit ribosomal RNA", at positions 1025 to 1434 of the family's 1533-position model. Lineage: Bacteria; Methylomirabilota (SeqCode). The record is from RNAcentral.
AGCGUGGAGACAGGUGGUGCAUGGCUGUCGUCAGCUCGUGUCGUGAGAUGUUGGGUUAAGUCCCGCAACGAGCGCAACCCUCACCCCUUGUUGCCAUCAGGUGAUGCUGGGCACUCUAGGGGAACUGCCCCGGUCAACGGGGAGGAAGGCGGGGACGACGUCAAGUCAUCAUGCCCCUUACGUCCUGGGCUACACACGUGCUACAAUGGCCGGUACAGAGGGAUGCAAGACCGCGAGGUGGAGCUAAACCCAAAAAGCCGGUCUAAGUUCAGAUUGGAGUCUGCAACUCGACUCCAUGAAGGAGGAAUCGCUAGUAAUCGCGUAUCAGCACGACGCGGUGAAUACGUUCCCGGGCCUUGUACACACCGCCCGUCACACCACGAAAGCCAGCUGUACUCGAAGUCGCUGAG